UACGUAGGGUCCAGGCGUUGUCCGGAUUUAUUGGGCGUAAAGAGCUCGUAGGCGGCUCAGUAAGUCGGAUGUGAAAACUCGGGGCUCAACCCCGAGACGCCAUCCGAUACUGCUGUGGCUUGAGUCUGGUAGGGGAACACGGAAUUCCUGGUGUAGCGGUGAAAUGCGCAGAUAUCAGGAGGAACACCGAUGGCGAAGGCAGUGUUCUGGGCCAGUACUGACGCUGAGGAGCGAAAGCGUGGGUAGCAAACAGG
Molecule: ribosomal RNA, 254 nt
Filed under: uncultured bacterium
Lineage: Bacteria
Description: partial 16S ribosomal RNA
Rfam family: Bacterial small subunit ribosomal RNA
Source: RNAcentral